This 501-nucleotide ribosomal RNA is filed under the name uncultured Paracoccaceae bacterium. Its description in RNAcentral is "bacterial SSU rRNA". It matches the Rfam family "Bacterial small subunit ribosomal RNA", at positions 549 to 1050 of the family's 1533-position model. Lineage: Bacteria; Pseudomonadati; Pseudomonadota; Alphaproteobacteria; Rhodobacterales; Paracoccaceae. The record is from RNAcentral.
AAUUACUGGGCGUAAAGCGCACGUAGGCGGAUUAGUAAGUAUGAGGUGAAAUCCGGGGCUCAACCCCGGAACUGCCUUGUAAACUCCUGGUCUUGAGUUCGAGAGAGGUGAGUGGAAUUCCGAGUGUAGAGGUGAAAUUCGUAGAUAUUCGGAGGAACACCAGUGGCGAAGGCGGCUCACUGGCUCGAUACUGACGCUGAGGUGCGAAAGUGUGGGGAGCAAACAGGAUUAGAUACCCUGGUAGUCCACACCGUAAACGAUGAAUGCCAGACGUCAGCAAGCAUGCUUGUUGGUGUCACACCUAACGGAUUAAGCAUUCCGCCUGGGGAGUACGGUCGCAAGAUUAAAACUCAAAUGAAUUGACGGGGGGCCCGCACAAGCGGUGGAGCAUGUGGUUUAAUUCGAUGCAACGCGAAGAACCUUACCUACUCUUGACAUACUAGAAACUUUUCAGAGAUGAAUUGGUGCCUUCGGGAAUCUAGAUACAGGUGCUGCAUGGCU